GUCUUCUGUCAAAUUCUUCUUCUUCUUAUUGCUUGAAUGGCCCAAUCAGCAAUACAUGUGAUGGUAUCUUUUUUGUGAGAUUGUAAGGAACCGGAGGGAAGAAAAAAUAAUGUUUGAUUUAAUAUAUUAAAAAGUAAAUUAAAAUAAUACAAGAAAAAAGGGGAGAGGCAUCAUGCCUGUUAUGUUCAUCUGUCGCCAUGUUGAACUGCUCUAGUUCGGAUUGAAUGACGUCAGAAGAAGAAAAAAAUAAUAGUUUCGGCCUAUGCGUGUUCACGAGUGAAGGUGAUGAAUUUUGUAUGGUUUAAGAAAAAAAAAGUGACAACUAAUAUUUUUUUGUUAUAAUUAAAAUUUUAUUCUGCUCCAAGUGCAUUAUGCAAAAUAGGUUUUUCUAUAAAGAUUUAACGCUGGAUGGAGCCACAGUUGUUGUGAUGUGCAUCGUCUGUUGUGGUGGUAUUUGUUGCUGUUUUUAUGGUUGGUGUGGCCCUGGAUGUUGCCGCUUCGUUUAUGGUGAAGCCAACGGGGACUUGUUGUACGCCGGAUGGUGUUUGGACCAUGGAUUUUGUGACUACCGUAAUCCGCCUGUUUACUUGGACUUUUAGUUUGUUUUUUGUUACACAGAAGAUACUUUGUUUGUACCCACAGGUUGUUGGGACAGUUGAUAUUCAUUUAACCUUUGUAAGUUACUUAGUUCUCUUUAAUAAAUUUAUAUUUUGAUGAUGACUUCUAAUUGGUGGGAUUUUGCUGCAAUAAAACAAUGGUUAGUCGAUCAUGAACUGAAGAUUUCAUUAAACAUCAGUUUCGAAAGAAAGGAUGGGGCAAGGGAGUCGGAUCCCCGACACAAUGUGGGUGUACUCCCCUACGUGUUAAGAUGUUACAAAAAAUGCCAUCAUGUGUAUUGCUGAUUGGGCUAUUCAAGCAAUAAGAAGAAGAAUUUGACAGAUGACAUCUGUAUACAUUGUAGAACAUUACUGAAGCAGCAAAGAGCAGUAUUGUGCAGAUUUAGGGCCAAUACUGGGUAUUUGGUGAUACUCAAACUGCAGGUGCGACAAGUUUUUCACUAUCACAGUUCAGCAUGGAGUCAUAUUCAAGAACAAAGGUUUCUUGACUUGUUCAGCCCUUUAAGUACCAUGGAUGUACACAGAUGUCCUCUGUCAGAUUCUUCUUAUUCUUAUUGCUUGAAUAUAGGCCCAAUCGGCAAUACAUGUG
Molecule: long non-coding RNA, 1206 nt
Filed under: Androctonus crassicauda
Lineage: Eukaryota; Metazoa; Arthropoda; Arachnida; Scorpiones; Buthidae
Source: RNAcentral